UACGAAGGGGGCUAGCGUUGCUCGGAAUCACUGGGCGUAAAGGGUGCGUAGGCGGGUCUUUAAGUCAGGGGUGAAAUCCUGGAGCUCAACUCCAGAACUGCCUUUGAUACUGAAGAUCUUGAGUUCGGGAGAGGUGAGUGGAACUGCGAGUGUAGAGGUGAAAUUCGUAGAUAUUCGGAAGAACACCAGUGGCGAAGGCGGCUCACUGGACUGGUAUUGACGCUGAUGUGCGAAAGCGUGGGGAGCAAACAGGG
Molecule: ribosomal RNA, 254 nt
Filed under: uncultured bacterium
Lineage: Bacteria
Description: partial 16S ribosomal RNA
Rfam family: Bacterial small subunit ribosomal RNA
Source: RNAcentral